RNAcentral lists this ribosomal RNA (403 nucleotides) under uncultured bacterium. RNAcentral describes it as "partial 16S ribosomal RNA". It matches the Rfam family "Bacterial small subunit ribosomal RNA", at positions 30 to 526 of the family's 1533-position model. The record is from RNAcentral.
AUUGAACGCUGGCGGCAGGCCUAACACAUGCAAGUCGAGCGAGUGGCGGACGGGUGAGUAAUGUAUGGGGACUGCCCGAUAGAGGGGGAUAACUACUGGAAACGGUAGCUAAUACCGCAUACUAUCUGCUAACCCAUAUGGGAGUAGCUAGUAGGUGGGGUAAUGGCUCACGUCGGCGACGAUCCCUAGCUGGUCUGAGAGGAUGAUCAGCGACACGGGGACUGAGACACGGCCCAGACUCCUACGGAGGCAGCAGUGGGGAAUAUUGCACAAUGGGCGCAAGCCUGAUGCAGCCAUGCCGCGUGUAUGAAGAAGGCCCUAGGGUUGUAAAGUACUUUCAGUCGGGAGGCGUUACCGACAGAAGAAGCACCGGCUAACUCCGUGCCAGCAGCCGCGGUAAUUC